This 770-nucleotide ribosomal RNA is filed under the name uncultured bacterium. RNAcentral's name for it is "bacterial SSU rRNA". It matches the Rfam family "Bacterial small subunit ribosomal RNA", at positions 41 to 787 of the family's 1533-position model. The record is from RNAcentral.
GGCGUGCUUAACACAUGCAAGUCGAACGAGAAAGUUCCUUCGGGAAUGAGUAAAGUGGCGCACGGGUGAGUAACGCGUAAGUAAUCUACCUUGGCAUUUGGAAUAACUACGGGAAGCUGUAGCUAAUACCGAAUACGUUCAUAGAGUUACGACUCUAUGAAGAAAGAUGACCUCUUCUUGAAAGUUAUCGUGCUAAGAGGAGCUUGCGUACCAUUAGCUAGUUGGUAGGGUAAUGGCCUACCAAGGCAACGAUGGUUAGCGGGUCUGAGAGGAUGAUCCGCCACACUGGAACUGGAACACGGACCAGACUCCUACGGGAGGCAGCAGUGAGGAAUAUUGCGCAAUGGGGGAAACCCUGACGCAGCGACGCCGCGUGGAUGAUGAAGGCCUUAGGGUCGUAAAAUCCUGUCAGAUGGGGAGAAAUGUAUGAGGGAACAAUACCUCUUGUGCUUGACGGUACCAUCAAAGGAAGCACCGGCUAACUCCGUGCCAGCAGCCGCGGUAAUACGGAGGGUGCAAACGUUGUUCGGAAUUACUGGGCGUAAAGCGCGCGUAGGCGGUUUGUUAAGUCAGAUGUGAAAGCCCAUGGCUCAACCAUGGACGUGCAUUUGAAACUGGCAGACUUGAGUACUGGAGGGGAUGGGUGGAAUUCCCGGUGUAGAGGUGAAAUUCGUAGAUAUCGGGAGGAAUACCGGUGGCGAAGGCGACCAUCUGGCCAGAUACUGACGCUGAGGUGCGAAAGCGUGGGGAGCAAACAGGAUUAGAUACCC